GGCUCAGGACGAACGCUGGCGGCGUGCCUAACCACAUGCAAGUCGAGCGAUGAAAUCCUUCGGGAUGGAUUAGCGGCGGACGGGUGAGUAACACGUGGGUAACCUGCCUUGUAGAGGGGGAUAGCCUUCCGAAAGGAAGAUUAAUACCGCAUAACAUCUUUUUAUCGCAUGGUAGAAAGAUCAAAGGAGCAAUCCGCUACAAGAUGGACCCGCGGCGCAUUAGCUAGUUGGUGAGGUAACGGCUCACCAAGGCGACGAUGCGUAGCCGACCUGAGAGGGUGAUCGGCCACAUUGGAACUGAGACACGGUCCAGACUCCUACGGGAGGCAGCAGUGGGGAAUAUUGCGCAAUGGGGGGAAACCCUGACGCAGCAACGCCGCGUGAAUGAAGAAGGCCUUAGGGUUGUAAAGUUCUGUUUACGGGGACGAUAAUGACGGUACCCGUGGAGGAAGCCACGGCUAACUACGUGCCAGCCGCGGC
This 480-nucleotide ribosomal RNA is filed under the name uncultured bacterium. Its description in RNAcentral is "bacterial SSU rRNA". It matches the Rfam family "Bacterial small subunit ribosomal RNA", at positions 21 to 518 of the family's 1533-position model. The record is from RNAcentral.